GCGGCAAGAGCUCAAAUUUGAAAUCUGGUACCUUCGGUGCCCGAGUUGUAAUUUGAAGAAAGCUGUCUUGGAGUUGGCCUUUGUCUAUGUUCCUUGGAACAGGACGUCACAGAGGGUGAGAAUCCCGUGCGAUGAAGUGUCCAAUUCUUUAUAAGACGUUUUCGAAGAGUCGAGUUGUUUGGGAAUGCAGCUCAAAGUGGGUGGUAAAUUCCAUCUAAAGCUAAAUAUUGGCGAGAGACCGAUAGCGAACAAGUACUGUGAAGGAAAGAUGAAAAGAACUUUGAAAAGAGAGUGAAAAAGUACGUGAAAUUGUUGAAAGGGAAGGGUAUUCAAUCAGACUUGGUAUUUAGUUAUCAUUACUCCUUGUGGGUGGUGCUCUAGCUUUUUACUGGGCCAGCAUCAGUUUUGGUGGCAAGAUAAUGGCAGUUGAAUGUAGCUCCUAGAGUAUUAUAGC
This 454-nucleotide ribosomal RNA is filed under the name Ogataea pini. RNAcentral describes it as "eukaryotic LSU rRNA". It matches the Rfam family "Eukaryotic large subunit ribosomal RNA", at positions 98 to 556 of the family's 3401-position model. The record is from RNAcentral. Lineage: Eukaryota; Fungi; Ascomycota; Pichiomycetes; Pichiales; Pichiaceae.